CAGUAGCCGCGGGAAUACGGAGGGUGCAAGCGUUAAUCGGAAUUACUGGGCGUAAAGCGCACGCAGGCGGUCUGACAAGUCAGAUGUGAAAUCCCCGGGCUUAACCUGGGAACUUCAUUUGAAACUGUCAGGCUGGAGUCUUGUAGAGGGGGGUGGAAUUCCAGGUGUAGCGGUGAAAUGCGUAGAGAUCUGGAGGAAUACCGGUGGCGAAGGCGGCCCCCUGGACAAAGACUGACGCUCAGGUGCGAAAGCGUGGGGAGCAAACAGGAUUAGAUACCCCGGUAGUCCCUGUCUCUUAUAC
Molecule: ribosomal RNA, 301 nt
Filed under: uncultured bacterium
Lineage: Bacteria
Description: partial 16S ribosomal RNA
Rfam family: Bacterial small subunit ribosomal RNA
Source: RNAcentral